GUUUUUGUAGUUGAAUACAACAUUGAUUUUUCAGGUCAGAGGUCCUGGUUAGAGUCCGGGCGGAAAUA
Molecule: transfer RNA, 68 nt
Filed under: Pleurodeles waltl (Iberian ribbed newt)
Lineage: Eukaryota; Metazoa; Chordata; Amphibia; Caudata; Salamandridae
Description: tRNA-Glu
Rfam family: tRNA
About the family: Transfer RNA (tRNA) molecules are approximately 80 nucleotides in length. Their secondary structure includes four short double-helical elements and three loops (D, anti-codon, and T loops). Further hydrogen bonds mediate the characteristic L-shaped molecular structure. tRNAs have two regions of fundamental functional importance: the anti-codon, which is responsible for specific mRNA codon recognition, and the 3' end, to which the tRNAs corresponding amino acid is attached (by aminoacyl-tRNA synthetases). tRNAs cope with the degeneracy of the genetic code in two manners: having more than one tRNA (with a specific anti-codon) for a particular amino acid; and 'wobble' base-pairing, i.e. permitting non-standard base-pairing at the 3rd anti-codon position.
Source: RNAcentral